AUGUUCUCUACAUCUCUACUGCUCCUGCUGGCAGCUGCUUCUUAUGUGCAUGGUGAGGAACUGACUCAGCCUGCUUCCAUGACAGUCCAACCAAGCCAGAGUCUCUCCAUCCAGUGCAAGGUUUCAUAUUCAGUUACAAGUGAUGCUACAGCAUGGAUACGACAACCUGCAGGAAAAGCUCUGGAAUGGGUCGCAAAUAUGGGUUAUGCUGGUGGCACUUACUACAGUGAGAAACUGAAAAGCAGGUUUCAGGUUUCCAGAGACACGUCCAGCAACACAGUGACAUUAACAGGACAGAACAUGCAGACUGAAGACACAGCUGUGUAUUACUGCGCUCGUGAACCACAGUGA
Molecule: non-coding RNA, 351 nt
Organism: Tachysurus vachellii
Lineage: Eukaryota; Metazoa; Chordata; Actinopteri; Siluriformes; Bagridae
Source: the annotation of a RefSeq genome assembly